Long non-coding RNA from Vidua chalybeata, 334 nucleotides. RefSeq lists it as uncharacterized. The record is from RefSeq and is a predicted model, not a curated record. Lineage: Eukaryota; Metazoa; Chordata; Aves; Passeriformes; Viduidae. The transcript has 3 exons.
GUAGCACUGACUCAUGGGCCACUCUGACCUGUGGUUCAACUCCAGUUGCUCGUAUAUGAAUAAAAAAAACACACACGCACACACGAAACAAAGCCCCUUCACCCAGAGCAAAAUGCUGACACUAUCAGAACAUCAAAGUUGUCAUCUGCAAGGAGGAAUUCUCACACUCCAACCAGGAGUUAUGUACCAUCUGUGACAGAGAGAAAUGACAGCCAAAUGGUCCCCUUUCUUUUGUUAAACCUCUAAGGAAACUGCCGGGAUUAGCAUGUUGCACUACUACUGAUGUCAGAAAAUGCAGACAUCUAGAAAUUAAAAUAAAAAAGUUCCAACUUUG